CGGCGGUGAGAGCGCCGAAUCCUAACCACUAGACCACCAGGGAAUCCAUUCAGACAAUCUACAGUAUGUAUUUUGUCGGUCACCAAUUCUAUGUCAAGUUUGGUCCAUCAUGCAGAUGCUGAGAUAGAAGAAGACUUUGUUAACGGAGAUCCUGUCUGCGGAAUCCAGCUACAUCCUUCAACAUGUGCAGCAGGAGGAAAUAGUUACUAAUCGUGACUACAACAACCUAAACAUCCCCAAUCAGUCCGAUGAGAAGACUGUCAUCAACCUGCUGGAUAAAGUGAUGAAUAAAGGAGACACAAAAUGCUGUGAACUCGUGAACCUGCUGCAGAAACCACAUAUUAUAAAAAACUACCCUAGACUGGAGGAAAUAUUCAACAACCACACAGAACCCAGUGACCACACCUUCAACCCAGCCCCAACAAUCCCAAUUCCCUGUACAGCUGUUCCUGUCCAGGAUCACGAUGGCUACAUAUCAUAGCUGCCUCGCAAAAAGAAGACACCCGCAGAGUUGGAAAAGAGGGAAAGACAUCCAUGCAAUCAUCACCCUGGUCAAUGCUGAAGUGAGCAAGAUGGAUGGCAAACUUCCUGUUUAGGAUAAAGAUGGGAAACAUAUUGGCUAUGAGAAGGUUAAGCAAUCACCAGAUUCCAGAAACACCCUGACCAAGACACUCAUCUUUCCUGCUGAGACCACUUAUACUUCAUAAUGAACUUUUGAUUUGUUAAUGAAACCCUUCAUCUGUCAACCAUCCAUUUGCUAAUUCUACUGUCAGAUGAAGGUUGUGAUAUGACAGGGUGCUUCCACACAGGCUGUGAAUAGGCCUAAUCAUAUGACGCCAGCUACAUUCCAGUGGUGACAUUUUCAUUUUAUCACUUUUAAAAUGAUGAGACAGGAACCACCAUUACUGUUGGUGUCUUUAUUUACCAGUUUGCUAUAUUUACAUGUAUGUGAUAUUUGAUAUUGUUUAGUUUCAUUUAAGGUAUAUAAGGCAGCUUAUAUGCCAUGUUAUGUGCCAUGUGCCAUGUUAUGUUAUUGAUGCUGAAUAUCACCAGGGAUAUACCAAAAGUUCUGUGACAUUGCUGCAGCUUAAUCAACACAACUAGGCUAUAUUUACUUUAACCAAAAUAGCAAUGUAUUUGAAAUGUGAAGAUAGAACACUGAAUCAUCAUGUUUUGUAAUCAAGUGGAGUUUCAUAGCAAGAAUACCAUUUUAUUGGUAUCUCAACCCAUAGUUUCAAGCUUACUUUAUUACAUGUUUUAAUGUUAUCCCAUCUACAAACGUUACCAUAACGUUUUCUUACCUGCCUUUCUUGUCACAUUUCAAUAUUUUAUACAUUUAUAAAUAAAUGUUUAUCUUUUGCCAACA
Molecule: long non-coding RNA, 1366 nt
Organism: Salvelinus fontinalis (brook trout)
Lineage: Eukaryota; Metazoa; Chordata; Actinopteri; Salmoniformes; Salmonidae
Exons: 4
Source: RefSeq, a predicted model, not a curated record